This 746-nucleotide ribosomal RNA is filed under the name uncultured bacterium. RNAcentral's name for it is "bacterial SSU rRNA". It matches the Rfam family "Bacterial small subunit ribosomal RNA", at positions 565 to 1308 of the family's 1533-position model. The record is from RNAcentral.
GCGCGCGCAGGCGGUCUUUUAAGUCUGAUGUGAAAUCUUACAGCUUAACUGUAAGCGGUCAUUGGAAACUGGGAGACUUGAGUGCAGAAGAGGAGAGUGGAAUUCCAUGUGUAGCGGUGAAAUGCGUAGAGAUAUGGAGGAACACCAGUGGCGAAGGCGACUCUCUGGUCUGCAACUGACGCUGAGGCGCGAAAGCGUGGGGAUCAAACAGGAUUAAAUACCCUGGUAGUCCACGCCGUAAACGAUGAGUGCUAGGUGUUAGGGGUUUCGAUACCCUUAGUGCCGCAGUUAACACAUUAAGCACUCCGCCUGGGGAGUACGGCCGCAAGGCUGAAACUCAAAGGAAUUGACGGGGGCCCGCACAAGCGGUGGAGCAUGUGGUUUAAUUCGAAGCAACGCGAAGAACCUUACCAGGUCUUGACAUCCCGUUGACCGCUAUGGAGACAUAGUCUUCCCUUCGGGGACAACGGUGACAGGUGGUGCAUGGUUGUCGUCAGCUCGUGUCGUGAGAUGUUGGGUUAAGUCCCGCAACGAGCGCAACCCUUGACCUUAGUUGCCAGCAUUCAGUUGGGCACUCUAAGGUGACUGCCGGUGACAAACCGGAGGAAGGUGGGGAUGACGUCAAAUCAUCAUGCCCCUUAUGACCUGGGCUACACACGUGCUACAAUGGAUGGUACAAAGGGUUGCGAAGCCGCGAGGUGAAGCUAAUCCCAUAAAGCCAUUCUCAGUUCGGGAUUGCAGGCUGC